This 477-nucleotide ribosomal RNA is filed under the name uncultured bacterium. RNAcentral's name for it is "bacterial SSU rRNA". It matches the Rfam family "Bacterial small subunit ribosomal RNA", at positions 34 to 518 of the family's 1533-position model. The record is from RNAcentral.
CGCUGGCGGCGUGCUUAACACAUGCAAGUCGCACGGGACCCGCAAGGGUUCAGUGGCGGACGGGUGCGUAACACGUGAGGAACAUGGUCCAGUUGGUGGGGGAUACGCCGGCCCAACGGCCGGGUAAUACCGCGUAAGACCCUUGGGGCGCAUGCUCUGGGGGUGAAAGCAGCAAUGCGCCGAUGGAGUGCCUCGCGGCCUAUCAGCUAGUUGGUGAGGUAACGGCUCACCAAGGCGACGACGGGUAGCUGGUCUGAGAGGAUGGCCAGCCACAUUGGGACUGAGACACGGCCCAGACUCCUACGGGAGGCAGCAGUGGGGAAUAUUGCGCAAUGGCCGAAAGGCUGACGCAGCGACGCCCGCGUGUGGGAUGACGGUCUUCGGAUUGUAAACCACUGUCGGGAGGGACGAAUGCGCCGCAAGGCGAGUGACGGUACCUCCAAAGGAAGCACCGGCUAACUCCGUGCCAGCCGCGGC